Molecule: ribosomal RNA, 540 nt
Filed under: uncultured bacterium
Lineage: Bacteria
Description: bacterial SSU rRNA
Rfam family: Bacterial small subunit ribosomal RNA
Source: RNAcentral
GAGGAAUAUUGGUCAAUGGACGUAAGUCUGAACCAGCCAAGUAGCGUGCAGGAUGACGGCCCUAUGGGUUGUAAACUGCUUUUGUAUGGGGAUAAAGUCAAUCACGUGUGAUUGUUUGCAGGUACCAUACGAAUAAGGACCGGCUAAUUCCGUGCCAGCAGCCGCGGUAAUACGGAAGGUUCGGGCGUUAUCCGGAUUUAUUGGGUUUAAAGGGAGCGUAGGCCGGAGAUUAAGUGUGUUGUGAAAUGUAGACGCUCAACGUCUGACUUGCAGCGCAUACUGGUUUCCUUGAGUACGCACAACGUUGGCGGAAUUCGUCGUGUAGCGGUGAAAUGCUUAGAUAUCACGAAGAACUCCGAUCGCGAAGGCAGGUGUCCGGGCUGCAACUGACGCUGAGGCUCGAAAGUGUGGGUAUCAAACAGGAUUAGAUACCCUGGUAGUCCACACAGUAAACGAUGUAUACUCGCGGUUUGCGAUAGACAGUAAGCCGCCAAGCGAAAGCAUUAAGUAUACCACCUGGGGAGUACGCCGGCAACGGUG